This 205-nucleotide long non-coding RNA is filed under the name Lathyrus oleraceus (garden pea). Its description in RNAcentral is "Pisum sativum (pea) long non-coding RNA (PSAT_LNC015705)". The record is from RNAcentral. Lineage: Eukaryota; Viridiplantae; Streptophyta; Magnoliopsida; Fabales; Fabaceae.
CAAUCACACAAUACAUAACAUUCAGAUUGAAUGUUCUGUAUACAAAUGUCUUGACAUCGAGUCUGACAUCUCAGCAAAAUCCCGCACAUUCACAUUUUAAACACCCUGCAGGAACAUGUUAUCUCAUGUCAAGAUAACACUUGUGACAACUUGUGAAAACUCUAGGUUUUACCAAAAUUGAUGCCAACACAUAGAACCAACAAAC